Molecule: transfer RNA, 73 nt
Filed under: Apaloderma vittatum (bar-tailed trogon)
Lineage: Eukaryota; Metazoa; Chordata; Aves; Trogoniformes; Trogonidae
Rfam family: tRNA
About the family: Transfer RNA (tRNA) molecules are approximately 80 nucleotides in length.
Source: Rfam by way of RNAcentral
GGACUGUUAGCUCAGUUGGGUGAGCGUGGUGCUGAUAACACCAAGCUCGUGGGUUCAAUCCCCGUUUGGUCCC